Molecule: ribosomal RNA, 499 nt
Filed under: uncultured bacterium
Lineage: Bacteria
Description: bacterial SSU rRNA
Rfam family: Bacterial small subunit ribosomal RNA
Source: RNAcentral
GAUGAACGCUAGCGACAGGCUUAACACAUGCAAGUCGAGGGGCAGCAUAAAAGUAGCAAUACUUUGGUGGCGAUCGGCGCACGGGUGAGUAACGCGUAUGCAACCUACCUAUCAGAGGGGGAUAACCCGGCGAAAGUCGGACUAAUACCGCAUAAAACAGGGGCACCGCAUGGUGAUAUUUGUAAAAAUUAUUGCUGAUAGAUGGGCAUGCGUUCCAUUAGGUAGUUGGAGAGGUAACGGCUCACCAAGCCUACGAUGGAUAGGGGAACUGAGAGGUUGGUCCCCCAGACUGGUACUGAGACACGGACCAGACUCCUACGGGAGCAGCAGUGAGGAAUAUUGGUCAAUGGGCGCAAGCCUGAACCAGCCAUCCCGCGUGAAGGAAGAAGGCCCUAUGGGUUGUAAACUUCUUUUCCAGGGGUGAAUAAUUCCGAUGUAUCGGGAGAUGACGGUACCUGGGAAUAAGCAUCGGCUAACUCCGUGCCAGCAGCCGCGGUAA